AUCCAGUUGACGAGUCCCAAAUAGAACGAUUUGCGCCUCCUGGAU
RNAcentral lists this non-coding RNA (45 nucleotides) under Schistosoma curassoni. The record is from RNAcentral. Lineage: Eukaryota; Metazoa; Platyhelminthes; Trematoda; Strigeidida; Schistosomatidae.